Molecule: unclassified non-coding RNA, 345 nt
Filed under: soil metagenome
Description: partial contains 5.8S ribosomal RNA, internal transcribed spacer 2, and large subunit ribosomal RNA
Rfam family: 5.8S ribosomal RNA (bases 1-120)
Source: RNAcentral
GAUGAAGAACGCAGCGAAAUGCGAUAAGUAAUGUGAAUUGCAGAAUUGAGUGAAUCAUCGAAUCUUUGAACGCACAUUGCGCCCGCCAGCAUUCUGGCGGGCAUGCCUGUUCGAGCGUCAUUUCAACCCUCGACCUCCCCUUGGGGAAGUCGGCGUUGGGGACCGGCAGUAUACCGCCGGCCCCGAAAUGGAGUGGCGGCCCGUCCGCGGCGACCUCUGCGUAGUAAUCCAACCUCGCACCGGAACCCCGACGUGGCCACGCCGUAAAACCCCCAACUUUCUGAACGUUGACCUCGGAUCAGGUAGGAAUACCCGCUGAACUUAAGCAUAUCAAUAAGCGGAGGA